AGAGAGAGAGAGGGUGAGAAACAGAGAGAGAGGGAGGGUGAGAAACAGAGAGAGAGAGAGGGUGAGAAACAGAGAGAGAGAGAGGGUGAGAAACAGAGCGAGAGAGAGAGGGUGAGAAACAGAGAGAGAGAGAGAGGGUGAGAAACAGAGAGAGAGAGAGAGGGUGAGAAACAGAGAGAGAGGGAGGGUGAGAAACAGAGAGAGAGAGGGAGAAACAGAGAGAGAGAGAGGGAGAAACAGAGAGAAAGAGAGAGGGAGAAACAGAGAGAGAGGGAGAGUGAGAAACAGAGAGAGAGAGGGAGAGUGAGAAACAGAGAGAGAGAGGGUGAGAAACAGAGAGAGAGAGGGAGAGAGAGAGGGAGAGAGAAACAGAGAGAGAGAGGGAGAAACAGAGAGAGAGAGAGGGAGAAACAGAGAGAGAGAGAGAGGGAGAAACAGAGAGAGAGAGGGAGAGUGAGAAACAGAGAGAGAGAGAGAGAGGGAGAAACAGAGAGAGAGAGAGUGAGAAACAGAGAGAGAGAGGGAGAAACAGAGAGAGAGAGAGGGAGAAACAGAGAGAGAGAGAGGGUGAGAAACAGAGAGAGAGAGAGGGUGAGAAACAGAGAGAGAGAGAGG
Long non-coding RNA from Oncorhynchus tshawytscha (Chinook salmon), 615 nucleotides. The record is from Ensembl. Lineage: Eukaryota; Metazoa; Chordata; Actinopteri; Salmoniformes; Salmonidae.